RNAcentral lists this transfer RNA (71 nucleotides) under Heterocephalus glaber (naked mole-rat). It matches the Rfam family "tRNA". Rfam says of the family: Transfer RNA (tRNA) molecules are approximately 80 nucleotides in length. Their secondary structure includes four short double-helical elements and three loops (D, anti-codon, and T loops). Lineage: Eukaryota; Metazoa; Chordata; Mammalia; Rodentia; Bathyergidae. The record is from Rfam by way of RNAcentral.
GUGGAUAUAGCUUAGUGACAGUGCACUUGCCUGGUAUGCAUGAGAACCUGGGUUUGAUCCCCAGCACCACC